This 450-nucleotide long non-coding RNA is filed under the name Helianthus annuus (common sunflower). Lineage: Eukaryota; Viridiplantae; Streptophyta; Magnoliopsida; Asterales; Asteraceae. The record is from RNAcentral.
GUCAACACAUUUUCUUGAAAUUUCUUUUCUUUAAAGUUACAUACAUGGUUUUCAUUGCGACCAUGCCGAAAGUUUUCUUGUCGAUACAUGUAUUUAUUGUCGGCUUGCGCCGAAACCAGUGUUUCAUUUGUUCCAAGUUGAAGUAAACUUGUUGGGCAUUCGACUCCAUUAAAUUGUUUGUUGAUUUCGACACCUUGUGGUGGUAUUUUCACUUGUCUGAAGCCGGAGCUAAACUCGUUUACAUGUCUCAUGCACAGAUUUAACUAUUUAUUUAUUGAUUUGCUUAAAAUCCGCUUUGAUUUAUCAUAUUACAGCAGUCUUAACACAAUCGUGUGUUAAGACAAUGGUACACCAGUUCAUUUUAAAUUCCGGUGUACCUACUAAUGGUACAUUCAUUUAUCGAUCGAAUGUUUUGCGAAAUUCAUUGCUUCUUCGUCUUCGAUCGAAAAC